RNAcentral lists this ribosomal RNA (482 nucleotides) under uncultured bacterium. Its description in RNAcentral is "partial 16S ribosomal RNA". It matches the Rfam family "Bacterial small subunit ribosomal RNA", at positions 30 to 507 of the family's 1533-position model. The record is from RNAcentral.
AUUGAACGCUGGCGGCAUGCUUUACACAUGCAAGUCGAACGGUAACAGCACUUCGGUGGCUGACGAGUGGCGAACGGGUGAGUAAUACAUCGGAACGUGCCUAGUAGUGGGGGAUAACUACUCGAAAGAGUAGCUAAUACCGCAUGAGAUCUAAGGAUGAAAGCAGGGGACCUUCGUGCCUUGCGCUACUAGAGCGGCUGAUGGCAGAUUAGGUAGUUGGUGGGAUAAAAGCUUACCAAGCCGACGAUCUGUAGCUGGUCUGAGAGGACGACCAGCCACACUGGGACUGAGACACGGCCCAGACUCCUACGGGAGGCAGCAGUGGGGAAUUUUGGACAAUGGGCGCAAGCCUGAUCCAGCAAUGCCGCGUGCAGGAUGAAGGCCUUCGGGUUGUAAACUGCUUUUGUACGGAACGAAAAGCCCUCUUCUAAUACAGGAGGGUCAUGACGGUACCGUAAGAAUAAGCACCGGCUAACUACGUG